Molecule: ribosomal RNA, 223 nt
Filed under: uncultured bacterium
Lineage: Bacteria
Description: partial 16S ribosomal RNA
Rfam family: Bacterial small subunit ribosomal RNA
Source: RNAcentral
GAUAUGGCUCAGGAUGAACGCUAGCUACAGGCUUAACACAUGCAAGUCGAGGGGCAGCGGGAUUGAAGCUUGCUUCAAUUGCCGGCGACCGGCGCACGGGUGAGUAACGCGUAUCCAACCUUCCGUACACUCAGGGAUAGCCUUUCGAAAGAAAGAUUAAUACCUGAUGGUAUGAUGAGAUUGCAUGAUAGCAUCAUUAAAGAUUUAUCGGUGUACGAUGGGG